RNAcentral lists this ribosomal RNA (653 nucleotides) under uncultured fungus. RNAcentral describes it as "eukaryotic LSU rRNA". The stretch from base 271 to 424 matches the Rfam family "5.8S ribosomal RNA". Lineage: Eukaryota; Fungi. The record is from RNAcentral.
CUUGGUCAUUUAGAGGAAGUAAAAGUCGUAACAAGGUUUCCGUAGGUGAACCUGCGGAAGGAUCAUUAAAAGAUAUGGCAUAUUCCAUGUGGAUAUACCCAAUCAACCCAUUCUGAGUACCUUACCUGUUGCUUUCACACAGCGUCUGCGCUCUUUUGUGUGGACAUCCAAGCCGGCAUUAGCUUGUUGGCCUUAUGUGUGAAAGGUAUACAUCAAACUCUUGCAUUACCAUGUAUUCUGUCUGAUUAUGUUUAAUACAAAAAAUAUUAAAACUUUCAACAACGGAUCUCUUGGUUCUCGCAUCGAUGAAGAACGCAGCGAAAUGCGAUAAGUAGUGUGAAUUGCAGAAUUCAGUGAAUCAUCGAAUCUUUGAACGCACAUUGCGCCUCCUGGCAUUCCGGGAGGCAUGCCUGUUCGAGCGUCAUUAAAAACCACUCAAGCUCUUUUGCUUGGUAUUGGGAGAUGAGUAGACUUUUCCUAGUUUACCCACUUUCGAAAUUCAAAGGCGUAGAGCCCCACAUACCACAGCGUAGUAAGUUUUCUUUCGCUUGGAGUGUGAGGUGAUAUUGCCACAAACCCCCAAUUAUUUUCUAGGUUGACCUCGGAUCAGGUAGGGAUACCCGCUGAACUUAAGCAUAUCAAUAAGCGGAGGA